GAAAAUGUUAAGGCCCUAGAAAAAGUAUUUCUGUAUUUACAUUAUUUACAUGGUUCAACGAGCAGCACAGGUCUGUGAUGGGCUGAAAGGAACAUUUCAAGUCAACUAUAAGCCAUUGUGACAAUGACCUCAUGCCCUUGUUAGAAGGUUUACAAGAGGCAUGGAGUGACACUGCCUGGACCUUUCCAGAAAAAGAGCAAUGGCCAUGUGUCUUCUACUCAAUUUAUGUUUCUGUAUAGGUUUUCUGAGCAUUUAUUAGAGGACUAACCUAACUGAAAACCCAAUCUUAUGGCUCAUUGUUCUUACAAAAUGCAGCCUGCAAAUUUGAGCAGACUAAUAUUCGUUUUCACAACAAUAAAAAUAGAACUAUACAGAUCCUUUGUAAGUAUAUAUCCAUACGUUUUUUAAUGAUUGUAUUUGCGCUGUGUCUGGCCACAUUUGAACUUUCAAAACAGACUUUGACACAGUGGAGUUUCAUCUUCGGCUACUCAAUACACGAUACAUUCAUCUGGUGUUGUGAGACAGACGAUAGUGUCGCCACGUUUCAGUACACCAGCAUCAGAAAUGAUUGGCAUCACACACUACAUCCCUCAUUUGAAAAGGACAUAGAAAAGAAAAAAAAAACUACACAAUGAAUAUUCAUGGCAGAAUGCAGAUUUAUAUCACCACUGACCGAAAGUAAUGUAACUUAUGCUCUUUUUGCAUGAGCGGAUUUGUGAUUCAUUGGCACAUCAGUCAUCUAUGAAGUCUUUCUGUGUCUUCAUGACCCUCUUUUGGCAAAUUUAUGCUUCAGAGUGAAAAUUCAGAAGUGGGCGUCCAUUACUAGUGCAGCUGGGUCCAUUAAAACAAGAGUUUUGGUCAAGUGCAGAUUUCUAAAACGUUACGCCCUGAUCAGUAAACUGCUGGGAAUAAUGCUGCGCUCCAUUCAAAGGAAAAUGUGGGACCUAUUUAAUUUCAACCAUGUUUUGUGAUCUGAUUCUCAAUGACAUAAAGAACCUAAUGGCUCUGCUGGUGUAUGAUGAUCCGGAGAAGAUCAUUUAGUGUUUUACACCUGGCUGUCACUGCACACCGAACAGGUUUCAUCAGUGUAUAAAUGUAGGAAAAUUGUCUCAUUGAUGCAGUGAAUGUUUAUUGUUAACUGGGUAUUAAUCAAGCAGGGUUCCCAAACUUUUUGACAAAUUUUUCUGUGCAAUUUCCAUGACAUGUCCAUUAGCUUUCCAGUAAUUUAUGACGACUAAUUUAAUUGUUACUUUUUAAAAAUUUUUAGAUUUGUAACAUUUUUAGAGAUUUUAUAGAAUUUGAUGAAGUAUUUUCUAUCCUAAGAAAUACUUAUACAUUUUAUUUUAAUUUAUUAUUUAGUUUUUUUUUAGGUUUUCCAGUACCAUGGGUUCCCUGUUUUAGUUAAAGUAUGGGGUCAGUAAGAUUAGUUUUUUUUUCUUUCAUUUUUUAAAAUUCUUUUUAUUAUUAUUUUUUAAGAAAUUAAUACUUUUACUCAGCAA
Molecule: long non-coding RNA, 1499 nt
Filed under: Sinocyclocheilus grahami
Lineage: Eukaryota; Metazoa; Chordata; Actinopteri; Cypriniformes; Cyprinidae
Description: lncRNA (ENSSGRG00000021404.1)
Source: RNAcentral